Molecule: transfer RNA, 85 nt
Filed under: Felis catus (domestic cat)
Lineage: Eukaryota; Metazoa; Chordata; Mammalia; Carnivora; Felidae
Rfam family: tRNA
About the family: Transfer RNA (tRNA) molecules are approximately 80 nucleotides in length. Their secondary structure includes four short double-helical elements and three loops (D, anti-codon, and T loops). Further hydrogen bonds mediate the characteristic L-shaped molecular structure. tRNAs have two regions of fundamental functional importance: the anti-codon, which is responsible for specific mRNA codon recognition, and the 3' end, to which the tRNAs corresponding amino acid is attached (by aminoacyl-tRNA synthetases). tRNAs cope with the degeneracy of the genetic code in two manners: having more than one tRNA (with a specific anti-codon) for a particular amino acid; and 'wobble' base-pairing, i.e. permitting non-standard base-pairing at the 3rd anti-codon position.
Source: Rfam by way of RNAcentral
GCCUGGGUGGCUCAGUUGGUUGAGCAUCUGACUUUGGCUCAGGUCAUAAUCUCGUGGUUUGUGAGUUCAAGCCCUGCCUCGGGCU